UACAGAGGGUGCGAACGUUGCUCGGAAUCACUGGGCGUAAAGCGCGUGUAGGCGGACCAGAAAGUCAGGUGUGAAAUCCCUGGGCUCAACCUAGGAACUGCAUCUGAAACUUCUGGUCUGGAGUGUCGGAGAGGGAAGCGGAAUUCCGGGUGUAGAGGUGAAAUUCGUAGAUAUCCGGAGGAACACCGGUGGCGAAGGCGGCUUCCUGGACGAUUACUGACGCUGAGACGCGAAAGCGUGGGGAGCAAACAGG
Molecule: ribosomal RNA, 253 nt
Filed under: uncultured bacterium
Lineage: Bacteria
Description: partial 16S ribosomal RNA
Rfam family: Bacterial small subunit ribosomal RNA
Source: RNAcentral